CCUACGGGUGGCUGCAGUGAGGUAUAUUGGUCAAUGGGCGCGAGCCUGAACCAGCCAAGCAGCGUGAAGGAUGACUGCUCUACGGGUUGUAAACUUCUUUUAUAAAGGAAUAAAGUGAGGCACGUGUGCCUUUUUGUAUGUCCUAUAUGAAUAAGGAACGGCUAAUCCCGUGCCAGCAGCCGAGGUAAUACGGAGGUACCGAGCGUUAUCCGUAUUUAUUGGGUUUAAAGGGAGCGUAGAUGGGUUGUUAAGUCAGAUGUGAAAGUUUGCGGCUAAACCGUGAAAUUGCAAUUGAUACUGGCAGUCUGGAGUACAGGUGAGGUAGGCGGAAUUCGUGGUGUAGCGGUGAAAUGCUUAGAUAUCACGAGGAACUCCGAUUGCGAAGGCAGCUUACUAAACUGCCACUGACGUUGAUGCUCGAAAGUGUGGGUAUCAAACAGGAUUAGAUACCCCUGUAGUC
This 460-nucleotide ribosomal RNA is filed under the name uncultured bacterium. RNAcentral's name for it is "partial 16S ribosomal RNA". It matches the Rfam family "Bacterial small subunit ribosomal RNA", at positions 338 to 795 of the family's 1533-position model. The record is from RNAcentral.